Molecule: ribosomal RNA, 370 nt
Filed under: uncultured eukaryote
Lineage: Eukaryota
Description: partial 18S ribosomal RNA
Rfam family: Eukaryotic small subunit ribosomal RNA
Source: RNAcentral
CAAUAGCGUAUAUUAAAGUUGUUGCAGUUAAAAAGCUCGUAGUUGGACCUUGGACCUGGACAGGCGGUCCGCCUCACGGCGAGUACUGUCUUGCUGGGUCUUUCCUCUUGGUGAUCUGUUGUUUCGGCAGCAGGGAACCAGGACCUUUACUUUGAAAAAAUUAGAGUGUUCAAAGCAGGCUCGACGCCGGAAUAUAUUAGCAUGGAAUAAUAAAAUAGGACGUGCGGUUCUAUUUUGUUGGUUUUUGGAAUCGCCGUAAUGAUUAAUAGGGACAGUCGGGGGCAUUAGUACUCACAUGCUAGAGGUGAAAUUCUUGGAUUUUGUGAAGACUAACUUCUGCGAAAGCAUUUGCCAAGGAUGUUUUCAUUCA